RNAcentral lists this ribosomal RNA (505 nucleotides) under uncultured bacterium. RNAcentral describes it as "partial 16S ribosomal RNA". It matches the Rfam family "Bacterial small subunit ribosomal RNA", at positions 28 to 507 of the family's 1533-position model. The record is from RNAcentral.
GACGAACGCUGGCGGCGUGCCUAAUACAUGCAAGUAGAACGCACAGUUUAUACCGUAGCUUGCUACACCAUAGACUGUGAGUUGCGAACGGGUGAGUAACGCGUAGGUAACCUGCCUGGUAGCGGGGGAUAACUAUUGGAAACGAUAGCUAAUACCGCGUAAUAUUAAUUAUUGCAUGAUAAUUAAUUGAAAGGUGCAAUUGCACCACUACCAGAUGGACCUGCGUUGUAUUAGCUAGUAGGUGAGGUAACGGCUCACCUAGGCGACGAUACAUAGCCGAACUGAGAGGGGGAUCGGCCACACUGGGACUGAGACACGGCCCAGACUCCUACGGGAGGCAGCAGUAGGGAAUCUUCGGAAAUGGACGAAAGUCUGACCGAGCAACGCCGCGUGAGUGAAGAAGGUUUUCGGAUCGUAAAGCUCUGUUGUAAGAGAAGAACGGGUGUGAGAGUGGAAAGUUCACACUGUGACGGUAUCUUACCAGAAAGGGACGGCUAACUACGUG